UGAGUGCUGUGGCUCAGGGUGUCUCUCC
This 28-nucleotide non-coding RNA is filed under the name Homo sapiens (human). Lineage: Eukaryota; Metazoa; Chordata; Mammalia; Primates; Hominidae. The record is from RNAcentral.